CAUUACCGAGUUAUACAACUCAUCAACCCUGUGAACAUACCUAAAACAUUGCUUCGGCGGGAACAGACGGCCCUGUAACAACGGGCCGCCCCCGCCAGAGGACCCCUAACUCUGUUUUUAUAAUGUUUUUCUGAGUAAACAAGCAAAUAAAUUAAAACUUUCAACAACGGAUCUCUUGGCUCUGGCAUCGAUGAAGAACGCAGCGAAAUGCGAUAAGUAAUGUGAAUUGCAGAAUUCAGUGAAUCAUCGAAUCUUUGAACGCACAUUGCGCCCGCCAGUAUUCUGGCGGGCAUGCCUGUUCGAGCGUCAUUACAACCCUCAGGCCCCCGGGCCUGGCGUUGGGGAUCGGCAGAAGCCCCCUGUGGGCACACGCCGUCCCUCAAAUACAGUGGCGGUCCCGCCGCAGCUUCCAUUGCGUAGUAGCUAACACCUCGCAACUGGAGAGCGGCGCGGCCAUGCCGUAAAACACCCAACUUCUGAAUGUUGACCUCGAAUCAGGUAGGAAUACCCGCUGAACUUAAGCAUAUCAAUAG
Molecule: ribosomal RNA, 533 nt
Filed under: Fusarium sp. FL-2015b
Lineage: Eukaryota; Fungi; Ascomycota; Sordariomycetes; Hypocreales; Nectriaceae
Description: eukaryotic LSU rRNA
Rfam family: 5.8S ribosomal RNA (bases 156-309)
Source: RNAcentral